RNAcentral lists this long non-coding RNA (1054 nucleotides) under Homo sapiens (human). Its description in RNAcentral is "HSALNT0389973". The record is from RNAcentral. Lineage: Eukaryota; Metazoa; Chordata; Mammalia; Primates; Hominidae.
GCCUCCCAAAGUGCUGGGAUUACAGACGUGAGUCACUGUGCCUGGCCUGGAUGGAACAUUCUGCUCUUUCUCCAUCUGCUGCCUACCCAUGAUGUCUUGGGACUCCUAGAACCCUAAAGGAAGCCCCUGGACACGCAGGAAGGUGAUCCAGAAUUACUCCCGAACUCUACCAGCUGAAAUCCUCCUCAACUCACAUCAGACAAGACGGCCCUGCCACUUACCUGUCAGAUCACUUUGGGCAGUUUACAGGAGAGAAGAUGCAGCCUGGGAGAGAUGCAGCAGGUGUCUGAGGCCACACAGCAAGUCACCCAGGGCCAGGAUCUGAAGCUGGGUCUCUCCAGCUCCACUGCCUGGGCACUUUCUCCUCCACAGCGACCUUCAGGUCAUCAUGAGGAGCCUUUCGGACUAAAGCUAGAGAGCUGGGAUUCCAACAGUUCAGCAACCCAUGACUUCUCCAUGGCAGCUGCUGCCUGACCACCUAGUGCCUUUCCACUAAGAUUGUUCCUUCCCUCUCCUGAAGAUUAUCCUCCUGCCCCUCUCUCCCAAACAUCUGCGGUGUGCACCUGCUGCCCAAAGUUGAACUUUUUUUUGUUAGAGACAGGGCCUCACUGUGUCAUCCAGGCUGGAGUGCAGUGGCGUGAUCAUAGCUCACUGCAGCCUCCAACUCCUGGGCUCAAGUGACCCUCUCACCUCAGCUUCCUGAGUAGCUGGGACUACAGGCAUGCACCACCACGCCUGGCUAAUUUUUAAAUUUUUUGCAGAGACAGGGUCUAGCUAUGUUGCCCACCCUGGUCUUGAACUCCUGGGCUCAAGCAAUCUGUCUGCCUUGGUCUCCCAGCUCGCUGGGAUUACAGGCAUGAAUCACCAUGCCCGGUCCUCCAAAGUUGAACUUUUGAGACUCAGUUUCCUUCUUGGUAAAUUCAGGCUCCUAGGUGCUACCUCCUCAGAGACAUCCUCCUUGACCACAUCACAUGACCUCUCGCAGAGGCCAGAUUCUUUAAUGUAUUCAUUUGUCUAUUAUCAUGUUUCCCCAGUAGAAGUUGCACAAACGGCA